UGGGGACCAGGCUUCCAGAUGUUACCGCUGCCUUUUGAUGUUAAGGGGGCUCCGGACAACGAAGAGCCGCAAGCAUGAGCCCCCUUCUCCACAGGCCAGACGCGCGUCAGUCACCACCACCUAAGACGCAGGGAAGAAUCUGGAAGAAGCAGAAAUGUUUUCCAAAGAAAACGCACGUCGUGAGCUCCUCUGAGAGUGUGAGCUUCAGGAUUCCACCGUUACGCAUCAGGAUGAAGGAUGAAUAGGUGGACUGUCUGCCUUGACGACGGCGAGCAGAUUCCUGGCGGCCAGCACCGAACACAGCAACCCCCGCGGGCCCCGGGGAGCCGCGGCUUCUACUCAGAGAUCCGACCACUUGCUGUCAUUUGUCACCCUGUUGACUGCAGCAGUAAGGACUCACUCACGCUGCUAUCAUGGUGCCAGGACCACGCCAGGGACUUUCCGAGGAGCUUUGUCCCGUCACAUGAGAAGGCAUUUGCUGUCAGGCUUGGAGCAUUUUCCUCCUUCCCCCAUGACCCCACGCCCUCAGAAGCCAACUCUGGCCAAGUUACUUGGCCUGUGAGAAGCCUGGAGACCCUCUUCAAUCCAAAGGACAUUAGAAAUGGCAUUUUCUGACCCUCCCUGGACCGGGCUCAAGGGAGUGACGUCUUUGCUUCCCGGUCCCCUCGAUGAGCUCCUUGGAGAUGCUAGUCCCGGUGAGUCACGCCUGCUCAGCACUGUCGGGGCUGCCUCCUGGGGGGGCUCCUCCUGCCUAAGCAGGGGGCCAGCCUUGGCAGCCCCUCCACCCCACCUCACACCACCCGAGGGGCAGGGAGGGGGCUGGGAAGGGACAGGACCCUGCCUCUCCUGGCACCAAGUACUUCUCUCAUCCCUGGAAGCGCUUUCCUGCUGAACUUCAGAACGCAGUUAUUUUGAAGUCAAGCCAGGAAAAGCUCUGGAAACAGUGAUGGGAGCUUGUGCUGGAAGCCGAGGACACAAGCCCCAUGCUGACUCUCCAGGCCUUAUUUAUUUCAUGAUCUGGACUAAUUUCUCAGCUGUAAUCGACACCACCCACCACCUAUGAACUUCCCAGAAACGUCCGGCAAGGGAGGGGCGGGACGAGCAGGAAUGCCCGUGGCCGCCAGGCUCCAGGUCCAAUCUGUCACGGCCGGCUCCAUAAUUCAUGUAGACGGCCUCCUCAAAUAAGCGGAACUAUUGGCAGCGAACGGUCGGAGCAAACGUCCCAGUUUUAUUACAGGACGGAGUCUGUUACACGAUCGGGUUGCAGAGUGAGUUGACGUGUGAAGACCCAGCUAGCCUUUACAUUUCGAUAUUUUGCUCAUCCUGGAUUUCUUUGGUAUUAAUUUUGAUCUUUGAAAAAAAAGUAUUGUACUAGGAAACUUAAAUGCGUAUUAGUAAAUGAGAGAAGCCAAUCUGAAAAGGCUUGUGCUGUGAUUCCAACUCAAUGACAUCCCAGAAAAGGCAAAACCAUAGACACAGUGAUGAGAUCAGGGGCUCCCAGGAUUGG
This 1507-nucleotide long non-coding RNA is filed under the name Bos indicus x Bos taurus (hybrid cattle). RNAcentral describes it as "lncRNA (ENSBIXG00005024415.1)". The record is from RNAcentral. Lineage: Eukaryota; Metazoa; Chordata; Mammalia; Artiodactyla; Bovidae.